AACUAACAAGGAUUCCCCUAGUAACUGCGAGUGAAGCGGGAAAAGCUCAAAUUUAAAAUCUGGCAGUCUUUGGCUGUCCGAGUUGUAAUCUAGAGAAGUAUUAUCCGCGCUGGACCGUGUACAAGUCUCCUGGAAUGGGGCGUCAUAGAGGGUGAGAAUCCCGUCUUUGACACGGACUGCCAGGGCUUUGUGAUGUGCUCUCAAAGAGUCGAGUUGUUUGGGAAUGCAGCUCAAAAUGGGUGGUAAAUUCCAUCUAAAGCUAAAUAUUGGCGAGAGACCGAUAGCGAACAAGUACCGUGAGGGAAAGAUGAAAAGAACUUUGGAAAGAGAGUUAAACAGUACGUGAAAUUGCUGAAAGGGAAACGCUUGAAGUCAGUCGCGUUGGCCAGGGAUCAACCUUGCUUUUUUGCUUGGCUUACUUUCUGGUYGACGGGUCAGCAUCAAUUUUGACUGGUGGAAAAAGUUCAAGGGAAUGUGGCAUCUUCGGAUGUGUUAUAGCCUUUGUUCGCAUACAUUGGUUGGGAUUGAGGAACUCAGCACGCCGCAAGGCCGGGUUUUUAACCACGUACGUGCUUAGGAUGCUGGCAUAAUGGCUUUAAUCGACCCGUCUUGAAACACGGACCAAGGAGUCUAACAUGCCUGCGAGUGUUUGGGUGAAAAACCCGAGCGCGUAAUGAAAGUGAAAGUUGAGAUCCCUGUCGUGGGGAGCAUUGACGCCCGGAUCUGACCUUUUGUGACGAUUCUGCGGUAGAGCAUGUAUGUUGGGACCCGAAAGAUGGUGAACUAUGCCUGAAUAGGGUGAAGCCAGAGGAAACUCUGGUGGAGGCUCGUAGCGAUUCUGACGUGCAAAUCGAUCGUCAAAUUUGGGUAUAGGGGCGAAAGACUAAUCGAACCAUCUAGUAGCUGGUC
Molecule: ribosomal RNA, 909 nt
Filed under: Laccaria vinaceobrunnea
Lineage: Eukaryota; Fungi; Basidiomycota; Agaricomycetes; Agaricales; Hydnangiaceae
Description: eukaryotic LSU rRNA
Rfam family: Eukaryotic large subunit ribosomal RNA
Source: RNAcentral